Molecule: ribosomal RNA, 253 nt
Filed under: uncultured bacterium
Lineage: Bacteria
Description: partial 16S ribosomal RNA
Rfam family: Bacterial small subunit ribosomal RNA
Source: RNAcentral
UACGAAGGGGGCUAGCGUUGUUCGGAAUUACUGGGCGUAAAGCGCGCGCAGGCGGUUCUACAAGUCAGUGGUGAAAGCCCGGAGCUCAACUCCGGAACUGCCAUUGAAACUGUUGAACUUGAGGACGAGAGAGGUGAGUGGAAUUCCCAGUGUAGAGGUGAAAUUCGUAGAUAUUGGGAAGAACACCAGUGGCGAAGGCGGCUCACUGGCUCGUAUCUGACGCUCAGGCGCGAUAGCGUGGGGAUCAAACAGG